UGGGGAAUAUUGCACAAUGGGCGCAAGCCUGAUGCAGCCAUGCCGCGUGUAUGAAGAAGGCCUUCGGGUUGUAAAGUACUUUCGGAGGGGAGGAAGGCGAUGUGGUUAAUAACCGCGUCGAUUGACGUUACCCGCAGAAGAAGCACCGGCUAACUCCGUGCCAGCAGCCGCGGUAAUACGGAGGGUGCAAGCGUUAAUCGGAAUUACUGGGCGUAAAGCGCACGCAGGCGGUCUGUCAAGUCGGAUGUGAAAUCCCCGGGCUCAACCUGGGAACUGCAUCCGAAACUGGCAGGCUUGAGUCUCGUAGAGGGGGGUAGAAUUCCAGGUGUAGCGGUGAAAUGCGUAGAGAUCUGGAGGAAUACCGGUGGCGAAGGCGGCCCCCUGGACGAAGACUGACGCUCAGGUGCGAAAGCGUGGGGAGCAAACA
RNAcentral lists this ribosomal RNA (427 nucleotides) under uncultured bacterium. RNAcentral's name for it is "partial 16S ribosomal RNA". It matches the Rfam family "Bacterial small subunit ribosomal RNA", at positions 355 to 774 of the family's 1533-position model. The record is from RNAcentral.